RNAcentral lists this transfer RNA (66 nucleotides) under Coprinopsis cinerea okayama7#130. It matches the Rfam family "tRNA". Rfam says of the family: Transfer RNA (tRNA) molecules are approximately 80 nucleotides in length. Their secondary structure includes four short double-helical elements and three loops (D, anti-codon, and T loops). Further hydrogen bonds mediate the characteristic L-shaped molecular structure. tRNAs have two regions of fundamental functional importance: the anti-codon, which is responsible for specific mRNA codon recognition, and the 3' end, to which the tRNAs corresponding amino acid is attached (by aminoacyl-tRNA synthetases). tRNAs cope with the degeneracy of the genetic code in two manners: having more than one tRNA (with a specific anti-codon) for a particular amino acid; and 'wobble' base-pairing, i.e. permitting non-standard base-pairing at the 3rd anti-codon position. RNAcentral also lists the same sequence under 1 other name. The record is from Rfam by way of RNAcentral. Lineage: Eukaryota; Fungi; Basidiomycota; Agaricomycetes; Agaricales; Psathyrellaceae.
GACCAUAUAGCUCAGUGGUUAGAGCGUCCCUCAUGUGUAGAGGAGGUUCAAUUCCGGAUGUGGUCA